UAUUUAUUUUAUUAUGUUUAUUUUUUGUUUAUUUAAUUAUUUAAUAAAAAUAAUUUUGUUGAAUUUUGUCUUAGUAUAUUUUGUAGAAUUGAUUUUUUAGAUUAUAGCUUAUUGGUAAUGUAAUUGUUUUAUGAAAUAUUAUUUUAAAUUUUUAAAAGUAGAUUUUAUUUAUUGUACCUUUUGUAUCAGGGUUUAUCAAAAUUUUAGUAUUUAUUUUACUUGUCUCGAUUUGGGUUGAUUUAUAAAUAAUUUAUAGUUAAUGUAUCAUAAUUAUUAUUAAAUUAUUUAUAGAAAUGAGAUGUUAAUCGUUUCCCAAGAUAUCUAGUUUCUUAAGAAAAAAUUUAAUUUUUUGAAGUUAAUUGUUUCUAUUUAAUUUUUUAAGUAUAAAUAUUAACUUAUUUAUUCUUUAAGGGAUAAGCUUUGAAGUUAAUAACCUAUAAUUUGUUUUAAUAAAAUAUAAUAGUAAGCUUUAGACCAGCUAUCUUUAAGAUUACGUUUUAGUUCAUUAUUUUUUAUUUUGAUUUUAUAAUUAUUUUAGGUUUUUUAUUAAGAUUAUUUAUUUAAUUUUAAAAUUUUUGUAAUAAUGAUAGAAUUAGUAUAUUUAUUUGUAGAUAAUUUUUACCUUGUGAAUUUAUUAUAAGGAACUAGGC
This 650-nucleotide ribosomal RNA is filed under the name Schistocerca pallens. Its description in RNAcentral is "partial 16S ribosomal RNA". The record is from RNAcentral. Lineage: Eukaryota; Metazoa; Arthropoda; Insecta; Orthoptera; Acrididae.